This 775-nucleotide ribosomal RNA is filed under the name uncultured bacterium. RNAcentral describes it as "bacterial SSU rRNA". It matches the Rfam family "Bacterial small subunit ribosomal RNA", at positions 62 to 849 of the family's 1533-position model. The record is from RNAcentral.
UUGAGCGGAGAUAUAUGGAGCUUGCUUUAUAUAACUUAGCAGCGAACGGGUGAGUAACACGUAGAUAAUCUAUCCUAUACUGGGGGAUAGCCCGAUGAAAGUUGGAUUAAUACCGCAUAUAGCUAUAUAGUUGCAUGAUUAUGUAGUGAAAGAUUUAUUGGUAUAGGAGGAGUCUGCGGCACAUUAGCUAGUAGGUGAGGUAAAGGCUUACCUAGGCGACGAUGUGUAGCCGGUCUGAGAGGAUGAACGGCCACAAUGGAACUGAGACACGGUCCAUACUCCUACGGGAGGCAGCAGUGGGGAAUAUUGCACAAUGGGGGAAACCCUGAUGCAGCAACGCCGCGUGAGUGAAGAAGGUUUUCGGAUUGUAAAGCUCUGUUAGCAGGGAAGAGGAAGGACGGUACCUGCAGAGGAAGCCACGGCUAACUACGUGCCAGCAGCCGCGGUAAUACGUAGGUGGCAAGCGUUGUUCGGAAUAACUGGGCGUAAAGGAUGCGUAGGCGGUUAAACAAGUUAUAUGUUAAAUAUAUAGGCUUAACCUGUAGAAAGCAUAUAAAACUGUUUAACUAGAGUGCAGGAGAGGUAAGUGGAAUUCCUAGUGUAGCGGUGAAAUGCGUAGAGAUUAGGAAGAACACCAGUGGCGAAGGCGACUUACUGGACUGUAACUGACGCUGAGGCAUGAGAGCAUGGGGAGCAAACAGGAUUAGAUACCCUGGUAGUCCAUGCUGUAAACGAUGGGUACUAGGUGUGGGUUGUGAAUAACAAUUCGUGCCGU